UACGAAUGGAGCGAGCGUUGUUCGGAAUCACUGGGCGUAAAGGGUGCGCAGGCGGUCAUGAAAGUCAGAAGUGAAAGCCCAGGGCUUAACCCUGGAAUUGCUUUUGAAACUCCAUGACUAGAGUAUUGGAGAGGUUAGCGGAAUUCCGAGUGUAGAGGUGAAAUUCGCAGAUAUUCGGAGGAACACCAAUGGCGUAGGCAGCUAACUGGACAAUUACUGACGCUCAUGCACGAAAGCGUGGGGAUCAAACAGG
This 253-nucleotide ribosomal RNA is filed under the name uncultured bacterium. Its description in RNAcentral is "partial 16S ribosomal RNA". It matches the Rfam family "Bacterial small subunit ribosomal RNA", at positions 524 to 776 of the family's 1533-position model. The record is from RNAcentral.